RNAcentral lists this transfer RNA (16 nucleotides) under Costesia spongiosa. RNAcentral's name for it is "partial tRNA-Gly". Lineage: Eukaryota; Viridiplantae; Streptophyta; Bryopsida; Gigaspermales; Gigaspermaceae. The record is from RNAcentral.
AGCGGAAAAAGGGACC